RNAcentral lists this ribosomal RNA (261 nucleotides) under uncultured archaeon. RNAcentral's name for it is "partial 16S ribosomal RNA". It matches the Rfam family "Archaeal small subunit ribosomal RNA", at positions 748 to 1008 of the family's 1478-position model. The record is from RNAcentral.
CAGCCGUAAACAAUGUGCGUUAGGUGUGUCGGUAACCACGUGUUACUGAUGCGCCGAAGAGAAAUCGUGAAACGCACCACCUGGGAAGUACGGUCGCAAGGCUGAAACUUAAAGGAAUUGGCGGGGGAGCACCACAGCAGGUGGAGCCUGCGGUUUAAUUGGAUUCAACGCCGGAAAUCUCACCGGAUAGGACAGACAUAUGAUAGUCGGGCUGAAGACUCUACUUGAUGAUCUGAGAGGUGGUGCAUGGCGUCAGUGACU